Periconia macrospinosa is the source of this 87-nucleotide non-coding RNA. The record is from the annotation of a GenBank genome assembly. NCBI's taxonomy places the organism in Eukaryota, Fungi, Ascomycota, Dothideomycetes, Pleosporales, Periconiaceae.
GGUCGGUUAACUCAGUUGGUUAGAGUGUGGUGCUAAUAUCUCUGAUAUGAUACGCCAAAGUCGCGGGUUCAACCCCCGCACUGACCU